ACCUAGCUGGCUCAGUUGGUAGAGCCUGAGACUCGUGAUCUUAGAGUUGUGAGUUCAAGCCCCAUGCUGGGUG
RNAcentral lists this transfer RNA (73 nucleotides) under Canis lupus familiaris (dog). RNAcentral's name for it is "tRNA-Thr (CGT) (tRNA-Thr-CGT-4-1)". It matches the Rfam family "tRNA". Rfam says of the family: Transfer RNA (tRNA) molecules are approximately 80 nucleotides in length. Their secondary structure includes four short double-helical elements and three loops (D, anti-codon, and T loops). RNAcentral also lists the same sequence under 1 other name. Lineage: Eukaryota; Metazoa; Chordata; Mammalia; Carnivora; Canidae. The record is from Rfam by way of RNAcentral.